GCCUGGGUGGCUCAGUUGGUUAAGCAUCUGACUUUGGCUCAGAUCAUGACUUGUGGUCCGUGAGUUUGAGUCCUGCACUGGGCU
Molecule: transfer RNA, 84 nt
Filed under: Felis catus (domestic cat)
Lineage: Eukaryota; Metazoa; Chordata; Mammalia; Carnivora; Felidae
Rfam family: tRNA
About the family: Transfer RNA (tRNA) molecules are approximately 80 nucleotides in length.
Source: Rfam by way of RNAcentral